AAGAGGGAGGAGUCUUUUCUCUCUUCAUUGCCCUUUGAAUCAAGACUGCAGGUCGACUCUACCCUGGGUCUCCAGUCUCCUGGCCUGCCUUGCAGAUUUUGGCUUUAUCAGCCCUACAAAAGGAACUCUCUGAAGCUGAGAACAAACAACGCAAAAUAUGAGAGAUGAUGGUGCCUGCUUCUCACACAGUGCUGAGUAUGGUGACUUUUCAAAUCCAGUGUACUAGCAGCCUUACAUGGAAGGCUCUUGCCUCAGCUGUGGCAAAUAACUAAACCUAGGGAGAGUGGAUUGGAAGCAACACUUAGGCCAGGGCAGUAUAGCAUAAUAAAAGAAAUAUGAGCUCUGGAUUCAGAAGACCUACACCUGCAUAUCACUUGAGCUGAUGGCUAUCAGCUUAAUGACUUUUUGUACCGCUUUACUUUUCUGCCAUCUUUGAGACUCUUUAAACUAGGUGGCCCGAUGGUAAAGAAUCUGCCUGCCAAUUCAGGAGACAUAAGAGACGUGGAUUGGAUCCCUGGCUCAGGAAGAUCCCUGGAGUAAGAAACGGCAACCCACUCCAGUAUUCUUGCCUGGAAAAUUCCAUGGACAGAGGAGCCUGGCAGGCUGCAGUCCAUGGGGUCACAAAGAUUUGGACACAAUUGAGCACACACACACACACACACAGGCACUUAAACAUUAGAGACAGUGUAUGUAGCAGGCUAUGAUGAGAUCAUAAAAGGUAGAUAGUAGAUGCCCCUUAUUCCAUCUUCUUUCAAAUAUUUUCACUAUUCUUUUUGAUGUUUUAGAAACAUAGAAAAACAACUGUUUGUCAGAGAAAUUGAUGGGAUAUGUGAGACUUGACUUUCCUGGGUGCCACUAGUGGUAAAAAAGAAAAAAAAAGAAAAGAAAAGAAAAACUUGCCUGCCAAUGCAGACAUGCAAGAGAGGCAUCCCUGGGUUGGGAAGAUCCCCUGGAGGAGGGCAUGGAAACCCAUUCCAGUAUUCUUGCCUGGAGAAUCCGUAUGGACCAAGGAGCCUGGCAUGCUGCAGUCCAUGGCUUCACAAAAAGUCAGACACCAGACACUGACAAUGCACAACAGUCAGAAUUUUGGGGUUCCUAGAUGGUGCUAGUGAUAAAGAACCUGCCUGUCAGGUAGGAGACAUAAGAGAUGCUGGUUCAAUCCCUGCAUUCAGAAGAUCCCCUGGAGAAGGGAAUGGCUACCCACUCCAGUAUUCUUGCCUGGAGAAUCCCAUGGACAGAGGAGCCUGGAGGGCUACAAUCCAUGUGGUCUCAAACAGUUGGACAUGACUAAAGCUAUGUAGAACACAUGUACAUAAGAUCGAUUUGCCUAUUUGUGGGAACCAAUCACUUAGUAUUUUUACAAUUGAAGUAAGCUUACAGAAAGCAAAAAUAGAGUCCAUAGUCAAAAGUAUACAUUUUCUCAACAACCAAGGAGGCCUCUGUAUUUCAACACUUCAAACUGUAAAAUGUGAACUCCUAAAGGAGCAUUGCAAGACUGGUUUCUAUACAAGAAUAAGUCAUUUCUGAAAAUUCCAGUGAUGUUCAACAGUUUACCAAUGUGAAGAAGACAAUUGCAAAACAUUGCUGUCUUAGAUUAUUGUUAAGUUCCAAAAGAGUUUUGGGCACUUGCUUCCUGUGGUAGAUGCCCAAGAGAGCCUGACUGAACUGAAGUUCAACUAUUACUAGCUUUCUGACAGUUUCAUAGCUGUUACCACUCAUCAGGGGCCUGUAGGCUGUUUCUAAUUUUGCUCCACUUGUUUUCUUAAAUCAUCUCCUGGGAUUGCAUGUUAUCUGUUAUCCAAAAUGACAGUGCUUCUCAUCACUGACAAAUUUUUUAUUCCUUCAGAUUAUUUGAGAAUAAGAUAAUCUUUUCCCCCAUAUAAGUGAGCCUGAGAAAUAAUUACGUUUUUAUGAUGGCAUUGAGCUGAACUGUCCAUUCAUUCCUAGAUUGUCUCAAGUUUCAUUCCUGUAGGGAGAUUAAUUUCCUUAGCUUCUGGCAGCCGAACUAGAUUUUCCAGACAACAUUCGACAGCAUCACCUACAUUGUGCUCAGUCACUAAGUCAUGUCUGACUCUUUAUGAC
Bos taurus (domestic cattle) is the source of this 2082-nucleotide long non-coding RNA. NCBI's taxonomy places the organism in Eukaryota, Metazoa, Chordata, Mammalia, Artiodactyla, Bovidae. The record is from Ensembl.